RNAcentral lists this ribosomal RNA (317 nucleotides) under uncultured bacterium. RNAcentral's name for it is "bacterial SSU rRNA". It matches the Rfam family "Bacterial small subunit ribosomal RNA", at positions 28 to 346 of the family's 1533-position model. The record is from RNAcentral.
GACGAACGCUGGCGGCGUGCUUAACACAUGCAAGUCGAGCGAGGCUCCUCCUUCGGGAGGAUGCCCUAGCGGCGAACGGGUGAGUAACACGUGGGCAACCUGCCCCUAGCACUGGGAUAACCCGGGAAACCGGAGCUAAUACCGGAUACGACUUCGAAGGACAUCCUCCGAAGUGGAAAGGUUUACUGGCUAGGGAGUGGCCCGCGGCCUAUCAGCUUGUUGGUGGGGUAACGGCCCACCAAGGCGACGACGGGUAGCCGGCCUGAGAGGGCGACCGGCCACACUGGGACUGAGGCACGGCCCAGACUCCUACGGGA